CCGCUGCGUGCACCAAGUGCUUUGAAAGUUUUUCGCGGAUUAAAACGAAUAAAAACCUCGUCGAAAGGCAAAGAAGGCAGGGUUGAAAAGUACUCAGCUCGACACCGGAGAAAAAAGAAACCCCCAUAGGAACUCCGGUUGUUCGGGUGUGUCCUAACAGCCUCACUCUGGACCUCUUGGACCUGGUGAGUCCGUGUCCCCAGUCCCUGCGGGGACAGCUCAGGAAGAGAGCGGGUUCCAGGACAGCCCAAGCAUCCGAAUCAAGUUAUCUACACCUUCGAGACUGAGCAAUAGAUGAACGAAUCGAGUCUAUUUGGGCAUUUUCCAGGGGAAAUGAAAGUGUAUGCCCAAAGAAGGACUUGUAUUUCAAUGUUCGUAGAAGUUUUAUGCACAAGAGUCCAAAACUGCAAAAAAAUCCGAAAGUUCAUCAACUGGGAUGGUGUGAAGUGUCUACAGGCAUCCGAGUGAACCCAAAGGGAGAGUUUGGCUGGCACACGGGGAGACGGGCCAAGGCGCGGCGGGCGAGGGCGGCACAAGCAUGGCGCUGCGACACCACUGCUGGGAGCAGGGCUGAAAGGUGUCUUUUGCUGUAAGGACUUUCAUAAGGCAGUCCCAAUCCAAAGACUGGCUUUAAUUUCACGGCCUUAGCCUCUCAGUUUCUUAAGCCUUCUGAGGACCUCCUGAUCAUGACAAUUAAGUCACUAUUUACAGCCAUGUGACAGAUAAAUCAGUAUUAGGUGAUUUGUUCUGAAGGACCCCCAAAAGGAAACAUAUGAGAGAACCCACACUCGGCACAGGAACGGCAAGAGUCCUCCUGUGAG
This 821-nucleotide long non-coding RNA is filed under the name Homo sapiens (human). RNAcentral's name for it is "SOX7 antisense RNA 1". The record is from RNAcentral. Lineage: Eukaryota; Metazoa; Chordata; Mammalia; Primates; Hominidae.